GACGAACGCUGGCGGCGUGCUUAACACAUGCAAGUCGAACGGUGAACGAGGGAGCUUGCUCCCUCCGGAUCAGUGGCGAACGGGUGAGUAACACGUGAGCAAUCUGCCCCGAACUCUGGGAUAAGCGUUGGAAACGACGUCUAAUACCGGAUACUACGCGGGAGGGCAUCCUCUCCGCGUGGAAAGAACUUCGGUUCGGGAUGAGCUCGCGGCCUAUCAGCUUGUUGGUGAGGUAACGGCUCACCAAGGCGACGACGGGUAGCCGGCCUGAGAGGGUGACCGGCCACACUGGGACUGAGAGACGGCCCAGACGCCAACGGGAGGCAGCGGUGGGGAGUAUUGCACAAUGGGCGCAAGCCUGAUGCAGCAACGCCGCGUGAGGGACGACGGCCUUCGGGUUGUGAACCUCUUUUAGCAGGGAAGAAGCGAAAGUGACGGUACCUGCAGAGAAAGCACCGGCUAACUACGUG
Molecule: ribosomal RNA, 470 nt
Filed under: uncultured bacterium
Lineage: Bacteria
Description: partial 16S ribosomal RNA
Rfam family: Bacterial small subunit ribosomal RNA
Source: RNAcentral